Molecule: ribosomal RNA, 443 nt
Filed under: uncultured bacterium
Lineage: Bacteria
Description: partial 16S ribosomal RNA
Rfam family: Bacterial small subunit ribosomal RNA
Source: RNAcentral
CCUACGGGAGGCAGCAGUGGGGAAUAUUGGGCAAUGGGCGCAAGCCUGACCCAGCAACGCCGCGUGAAGGAAGAAGGCUUUCGGGUUGUAAACUUCUUUUCUCAGGGACGAAGAAAGUGACGGUACCUGAGGAAUAAGCCACGGCCAACUAAGUGCCAGCAGCCGCGGUAAUACGGAGGUGGAAAGCGUUAUACGGAUUUAGUGGGUGUAAAGGGCGUGUAGGCGGGAGCGCAAGUCAGAUGUGAAAACUCAGGGCUCAACCCUGGGCCUGCAUUUGAAACUGUGUUUCUUGAGUGAUGGAGAGGCAAUCGGAAUUCCGUGUGUAGGGGUGAAAUGCGUAGAUAUACGGAGGAACACCAGUGGCGAAGGCGGAUUGCUGGACAGUAACUGACGCUGAGGCGCGAAAGCGUGGGGAGCAAACAGGAUUAGAUACCCCGGUAGUC